UUCGGUGGUCAUAGCGUGAGGGAAACGCCCGGUUACAUUCCGAACCCGGAAGCUAAGCCUUACAGCGCCGAUGGUACUGCAGGGGGGAC
RNAcentral lists this ribosomal RNA (89 nucleotides) under Streptomyces sp. BV286. RNAcentral also lists the same sequence under 3 other names. Lineage: Bacteria; Bacillati; Actinomycetota; Actinomycetes; Kitasatosporales; Streptomycetaceae. The record is from RNAcentral.